This 30-nucleotide ribosomal RNA is filed under the name Silene rothmaleri. RNAcentral describes it as "partial 26S ribosomal RNA". The record is from RNAcentral. Lineage: Eukaryota; Viridiplantae; Streptophyta; Magnoliopsida; Caryophyllales; Caryophyllaceae.
CCCAGGUCAGCGGGGCUACCCGCUGAAUUU